CUAUAUUAAUAUCCUAAAACCUAACCCUAUUUUCCUUUUUUCUCCUUGUUCACUUUGAAAACACCAAGCAUUGCUCCCUUAGCUCCAAACUUCGUCCAUUAGCAGUGCAUAUCACCAGUGAAACCCCUGCUUCACCCUCACUUAUGAGGACAACCACCAAGAGAGUCCCUCUGCUUCAUAUCUCUCCUCAUGGAACUUCUCCAACCACCAGCGGACAUCAACCGCUUCACCACCCGAACUAGUUUCCCCUCUCUUCCCCUUUCUGUUUACUUCUGCCUCUCUUCACUUCUCUUCUGACCGGCGAAGUGUCGAAUCAUGCAAUCUCAACCCGUCUCCUUCUCUUAUAUUCAUUUGUUCUGACCAAACACUUCGGCAAGACAACUCCCGAGAAGUCAAGACUACCACCAUCCUUCCUAGCGAGAUCGACAAUAACAAAAACAAGAGCUUCUUUGCUCCGCCGCUAUCUCCAGCUAGACCUGACAGAGCCUUGAGGGGGCUAUUUAAUAGAUCCGUGCAGGUUCCUUUUUUUUUUAAUUUCAAUUAUUAUAUCAUCUUAUAAACAACUUUCUUAAGUUAUCUAGAUGUUUUAGUAUAAUAGUUUUUAUUACAUUCUUACGCUACAUGAAAUUCAAUAAUAUCCAUGAAAUCUCUAUUAAACAUGAUUUCCUUAUGAUUUUGAGUUCCUAAACUUGUGCAUUUUCUGCCUUGUGUGUUUCCAUUUUUUUAAAAAAACUUAAUUAUCCCCUUUUGUAAAUGGGUUUUAGUGUGCCCUUGAGUUUUUCUUUAGAAACUCUGACAGAGUUGUGGUUACUUUAUCUAAUAGUAGCAAGCCUUAAUAUGAGAAUUUUACUUAUUUGCUUAAUGAAUUGAUUGAUUAUUCUAAAAAUCUUCAUGAUUCAUGUUUCUUUCCAUUUUUUACCUAAUCGAAUGGUACAAAUUAAUAUUUAUCUAUUGUUGGUAAACUAUGUUAUGAUUCUUCUUCUUGAUUGACUAUUUUAUUCUCCGACUUUUCUUUUUUUUUAGUUAGUGUGAACAACAUCGACUUAAUUGUUUCUGCUAAACUUUUGAUAGUUAUGGUAAGUAAAUAUACAUAUGUGAUGUUCAAAUACAGCAGUCUAUAAAUCAUGUUAUUUUGGACUGAUUUGUUGGACUUUAUUAACAUGGCUCCUUCAAAAUUAUAAGUUCAUUCAUGAUUCUUGCCUUCUAUUUUUUAUGAAAGAUUCAUCGAUGGUAAUUUCUAAUUAUCAAUUGGCUAUUGCAUUAUUUUAGUAUCAAUUGAUUGAUGGUAAAAUCCAUGCAUUAAAGUUUCCUGUUACUUGUUUAUUUUUUUAAAAAAACAUUGACUUAGUAGCAUUUUUUAUUAACUGGAUUUUAAAGCCGCAUUGUUAUGAUAAUAUUGAUAAAUUAAAUGCCAAGAAUGAGGGUCUAAUUGAGGAGAAUAAUUUUCUUUCUUUUUCUCUAUUUUUAUACUUAUUGAUGUGCCCUAUAUAUUUUACUUUAAAUACAAGACUAUACAUUAUGUCCACAUUCUUAAACAAGAACAAUACUCUCGUACAAUCUCAAAAGCAAUAAUAUUUUUACGUACUACCUUAAAAGUUUUUUUUGUUCUUGUGGCUGCACGAAGUAUGAACUUCGGUUCUAAAAUCAAGUUUUAUGAGCUUAUUUGAAUACUGUUAGACCGGUUGGUGAUCUUUAGAAGAAUUAUAAGAUGUGAUAUGUUCAAGAUAGUUACUCCAUUAUUUUAUUUUGUUAUCUUCUCUUACUUUAGUGUCCUUAUAAGCUUACUUUUCUUGAGAAUACCUUUAUUACUUUAGUAUUUCAUUGUAAGGUACUACUAAAAAACAUACUCCUACCCCUUUGAAUAUUGUUUGCACGUACACUAUAAUGAAAUGACAUUACUUGUAAUCCAAUCAUGACAAGUGGAGAACUCAACGCGAGAAGCCGAGCUAAAGUGGAAUCGUCACCCCAAAAGGGGAAUCAGGUGGUGGCAAGUGAGGAUUGCUAGAAGUUCAAGCAUGAGAAGUAGAUUUCUCUCAAGAUUGCUAUAUCCUCAUAUGAUGAAGGACAUGGAUCUUAGUUCUAGUUUUAUUUUAUUAAAGACUUUCUAUGAUAUAUAAGUUUUCUAUUAGUGACAUGGAUAUGACUUUAUGAUGUUGUCAUGUGUCUGAGAUUGCUUAUGAUGAGACUUAGUUUCUCCUUACGUUUUAUACAAGAGUUUCAUCGUUGACUUUA
This is a long non-coding RNA of Solanum pennellii, 2232 nucleotides long. RefSeq lists it as uncharacterized. Lineage: Eukaryota; Viridiplantae; Streptophyta; Magnoliopsida; Solanales; Solanaceae. The record is from RefSeq and is a predicted model, not a curated record. The transcript is spliced from 2 exons.